AUCCACAUGACGAGUCCCAAAUAGAACGAAAUGCGCAUCCUGGAU
This 45-nucleotide non-coding RNA is filed under the name Trichobilharzia regenti. Lineage: Eukaryota; Metazoa; Platyhelminthes; Trematoda; Strigeidida; Schistosomatidae. The record is from RNAcentral.